CGCAAGGUGGUAAAGUUCUACUCCACCUGCUUCGGCUUCCGCGAGCCCUACAAGGUGUUGUUCGACGGCACCUUCGUGCACCACCUCCUCGUCGACCAACUCCUCUGGUCCUCCCCUAUCACGGGAAGGAUGGGCCCCGUCCAGAGGGCGCCCCCUCUCUUCACCUCCAAGUGCGUCCAGGCUGAGCUCCGCCGCCUCGGCAAGUCCCACUCCGAGGCCUUCGACGCCGCCCAGCUCCUCGCCACCGCCAGUUGCUAGGAUGACAAAGUGGUCAAUGCAGUGGAUUGUCUAUAAUUGGUUGGUGAUAAGAAUCCAGAGCACUACUUUGUCGCCACCCAGGAUUUUGGUCUCCGGGCAAAGCUACGAGAGGUUCCUUGUGUUCCUGUGAUAUACGGUCUGAAGAACUCCCUGUUUAUUGAGCAACCCUCUGUGCAGCAACGCAAGUUUGUUCAGUUGAACGAGGAGAAGCGUAUCCAUAUGGAAAAAUCAGAAUAUAAGAAGCUGCUGAAGGCGUCAUCAGAAGGAAAGGCAUCUGUCGGUGGAAACAUACCUGGAGUGGAAGAGAAGAGCAAGUUUAAAAGGAACAGAGCAAAAGGUCCAAACCCACUCUGCUGAAAGAAAAAGAAACCAAAGCCCCAACCAUCAGCUGCUCAAAGUCAGGAUCAAAAGGCUGAUGGUGAGGCGAAGCGAAAGAGGGUUAGGAAGCGGAAGAGAAGCAUCAAAGAUAGCAGUCAAAGCAGAGACAGUGAGCUGAUGGACCUACAAAGAUUAUGUGCUGAUGGUGUUUCUUCAAAUGCUACAUAA
Molecule: ribosomal RNA, 804 nt
Filed under: Triticum aestivum (bread wheat)
Lineage: Eukaryota; Viridiplantae; Streptophyta; Magnoliopsida; Poales; Poaceae
Description: partial small subunit ribosomal RNA
Source: RNAcentral